AUCCUUUUGUAGUUCGUAAGUGUGAUGACUGGGUGUUCACGCACACGUGUGAAAUGUGUCUCCCUCAAAUCUUGUUACAACAUUGGCACAUUACUUGUCUGAUG
Molecule: small nucleolar RNA, 104 nt
Organism: Propithecus coquereli (Coquerel's sifaka)
Lineage: Eukaryota; Metazoa; Chordata; Mammalia; Primates; Indriidae
Source: Ensembl